This 83-nucleotide non-coding RNA is filed under the name Acinetobacter sp. CIP 102637. The record is from RNAcentral. Lineage: Bacteria; Pseudomonadati; Pseudomonadota; Gammaproteobacteria; Moraxellales; Moraxellaceae.
CGUUAUGGCAGUUUGACAGGACAACCGUAAGGUUGGCUGAGCCUAGAUUCAGUAUUUCCUACUCCUGUUAAGCUGCCACCAUC